UGUGCGGUGUUUCCGGGACGAUACGACAUGGGUACCUUCAAAAAAAAGCGCGUACAUCUUCCUUAAAGGCCGGCCACGCUCUUGUGAUUCCUCUGGUGUUGCAAGAGAAUGUGGGCGGCGGUGAUCACUUAACACCAGGACCCGUACGCUCGUUUGUCCUCCUUUUUCCAUAAAAAAAAUCAUCGGUAAAUCAUUUUUUAACUAAACUGCUGUUUUCUUAAAUAAAAUAUAUUAUGGUGAUCAAUUUUCACUGUGAGAUUGUUAAUUUAUUCGCAUUGCCAUCAUUUUGAUCACCAUUGUUGUAGUCAAGUCAUUAAAUAUCCGGAGCUUAGAUCAUUUUUACGUCUAGAAAGACUGUGACAGCUGACAGAAAACGUGGAAAAGAAUCGAUGUUGACAGUUAAUCUCUAUUUUGAACAAUGCGCGAACACUAACACAAAGUGACAUAAAAAUUGCGAGUGCAAUACGUAGCUUGUCACGCACACUAAAUUAAUAUACCUGGCCUGUUUUCAUCGGAUGUCCAGCAGCAAGAAACUCUAUCUUGAUGUAUAAAUUAUCUAAGAUCUGGAGCGUUUCCAACGUACAUAGGAAUUAAGUAUACUUUAAUUUGUACCAAAAUUUAUGAAUGAUGCGAGAUAAUUUUGAUACAAUUAACAUUUGUAUACUUAAUCCCAGAAAUGAGGGAUAUCUCUUAAAAAUUAUUAAACUUAACUUACUGAUAUACGCAAGAAUAAAUGUCUUGCAAUGAAAAUGAAUAAGAAUAUAUUAUCUAUGAUAAGGUACUUAACCUUCUUGUUAAGAUUUCUAUGGGUAAUCUCUAUGGUAAUGCGUACUCAAUUACCAUUCUGUGGUCUUUUUGAUACUUUCAGUUUUCGUUUAGGUCUAGUCUACUCUUCGUUUCAUUACUUUUAUAGCAUAUAUUAAUUAUCAAUAAAUAAGGAUUUAACUAAAUUUAUUGUACAAACCUAAUGUUGAGUUAUAUAGACCAUUAUAUUUCACCUUCGCACGACAUGCCACACGUUAGGAUAUCAUCCCUCAUCCAUGUGUGGCGGUCCUCCACAGUGCGGUUUUCAAGGACCUUUCUUCCUCGUACUACGAAGCUGUGGAAUGAGCUUCCUUGUGAGGUGUUUCCGGGACGAUACGACAUGGGUACCUUCAAAAAAAGCGCGUACAUCUUCCUUAAAUGACGGCUCUUGUGAUUCCUCUGGUGUUGCAAGAGAAUGUGGGCGGCGGUGAUCACUUAACACCAGGUGACCCGUACGCUCGUUUGUCCUCCUAUUCCAUAAAAAAAAAACCGUACUUAGACUUUGCUCAGACUCUACUUAAGUAAAAGUUUGUUGAGUAUAAGCUUAGCGUAAUUUAGGAUUACGUUUUUAUAGUCUAUUGACAUCUGAAAUUAUGCUGAGCAUAUAAUCUAAGACAGCCCAAUGCAAAAGCCAAGUUCGCGUUUUCACACACAGAACAUCACAUCACACUCAGCUAAAUUUUACAUCAGUAAAGUCUGAGCAAAGACUAAGUACAACCUUAUAAUAAUAUCUUUUAUUUGACACACACAUAAAACAUUACAUAGCUACAAAAAUAAGAAUAAAAAUGAAAAAUUAUAACUAAAACUAACCUAGAACAUAUUUUACAAAGCUUAAAUAAAUAACUUAAUCUAUAGAUCUCGGCCUAAAACCUAGUUUGUAACAAACUUAAAUCGUCAUCUAUACAAUAGGUACUGGUGAUGAAAGAUAUUUUCGCACAAAAAAAUUUAAUAUAAAUAAAUCCAUUCCAAAUUUGACGUUUGAAUAAAUGUAAUUUAUCGACUGAAUGUAAAUAAAUGCUUGUAUAUUUUGUAAUGUAACAACCAUAAUAUAACUUUGUGAUAAGUUGUAUAAAGAUAUAUUCUCUGUAAGGCUUAAUAAAUCAUAUAUAUUUAGUGU
This is a long non-coding RNA of Leptidea sinapis, 1921 nucleotides long. RefSeq lists it as uncharacterized. The transcript is spliced from 2 exons. NCBI's taxonomy places the organism in Eukaryota, Metazoa, Arthropoda, Insecta, Lepidoptera, Pieridae. The record is from RefSeq and is a predicted model, not a curated record.